This is a long non-coding RNA of Gossypium arboreum, 460 nucleotides long. RefSeq lists it as uncharacterized. The transcript has 3 exons. The record is from RefSeq and is a predicted model, not a curated record. NCBI's taxonomy places the organism in Eukaryota, Viridiplantae, Streptophyta, Magnoliopsida, Malvales, Malvaceae.
AUAUAAAACAAAGAAAAUAAAAGGAAAAGAAAGAUAGAAAAGAACAGAGAAGCUCACGAAACAGAGAAAGAAAGGAAAGGAAGAAAGAAAAAGGAAAAAUUGGAGAAUUGAAGCUUGAAAGUUGAAUUGUUAACAAAGAACCCAAGACAUUGGCGCACAAAGGAAAGGAGAAAGCUAUCGAGGAUUAAAACGAGAAAUUCACGGUUAAUAGGAGUCUAGUAUCCCGGUCAGCAUCUGAACGAUCCCGACUCCAACAAAUUUUGGGUGAUGUUUUCUUUCCUAAUUGAAAGUGGCAUGUACUAGGUGUUGUAUAAGUUAUAUGGAUAUGCUUGUAAUGUUAGUUGUAAGAAAGGUAUACCAUAUUUUGUUAUUAGUUUGAUAAAAUGGUAAAUAUUAUAUUAUAUAAUUUGGUAUAAGUUGGAAUGAAAAAUAAAUGAAGUUAUUAGUUAAUUUAGAUUAA